This 301-nucleotide ribosomal RNA is filed under the name uncultured bacterium. Its description in RNAcentral is "partial 16S ribosomal RNA". It matches the Rfam family "Bacterial small subunit ribosomal RNA", at positions 509 to 807 of the family's 1533-position model. The record is from RNAcentral.
CAGUCGCCGCGGGAAUACGAAGGGGGCUAGCGUUGCUCGGAAUGACUGGGCGUAAAGGGCGCGUAGGCGGAUUGUUUAGUUAGGCGUGAAAUUCCUGGGCUUAACCUGGGGACUGCGCUUAAUACAGGCAGUCUAGAGUGAGGAAGAGGGUUGUGGAAUUCCCAGUGUAGAGGUGAAAUUCGUAGAUAUUGGGAAGAACACCGGUGGCGAAGGCGGCAACCUGGUCCUUGACUGACGCUGAGGCGCGAAAGCGUGCGGAGCAAACAGGAUUAGAUACCCCCGUAGUCCCUGUCUCUUAUAC